Molecule: ribosomal RNA, 463 nt
Filed under: Streptococcus anginosus
Lineage: Bacteria; Bacillati; Bacillota; Bacilli; Lactobacillales; Streptococcaceae
Description: bacterial SSU rRNA
Rfam family: Bacterial small subunit ribosomal RNA
Source: RNAcentral
GACGAACGCUGGCGGCGUGCCUAAUACAUGCAAGUAGGACGCACAGUUUAUACCGUAGCUUGCUCACCAUAGACUGUGAGUUGCGAACGGGUGAGUAACGCGUAGGUAACCUGCCUAUUAGAGGGGGAUAACUAUUGGAAACGAUAGCUAAUACCGCAUAACAGUAUGUAACACAUGUUAGAUGCUUGAAAGAUGCAAUUGCAUCGCUAGUAGAUGGACCUGCGUUGUAUUAGCUAGUAGGUAGGGUAAUGGCCUACCUAGGCGACGAUACAUAGCCGACCUGAGAGGGUGAUCGGCCACACUGGGACUGAGACACGGCCCAGACUCCUACGGGAGGCAGCAGUAGGGAAUCUUCGGCAAUGGGGGGAACCCUGACCGAGCAACGCCGCGUGAGUGAAGAAGGUUUUCGGAUCGUAAAGCUCUGUUGUUAAGGAAGAAACGAAGUGUGAGAAAUGGAAAAGUU